Molecule: ribosomal RNA, 465 nt
Filed under: uncultured Klebsiella sp.
Lineage: Bacteria; Pseudomonadati; Pseudomonadota; Gammaproteobacteria; Enterobacterales; Enterobacteriaceae
Description: bacterial SSU rRNA
Rfam family: Bacterial small subunit ribosomal RNA
Source: RNAcentral
CCUACGGGUGGCUGCAGUGGGGAAUAUUGCACAAUGGGCGCAAGCCUGAUGCAGCCAUGCCGCGUGUGUGAAGAAGGCCUUCGGGUUGUAAAGCACUUUCAGCGGGGAGGAAGGCGUUAAGGUUAAUAACCUUGGCGAUUGACGUUACCCGCAGAAGAAGCACCGGCUAACUCCGUGCCAGCAGCCGCGGUAAUACGGAGGGUGCAAGCGUCAAUCGGAAUUACUGGGCGUAAAGCGCACGCAGGCGGUCUGUCAAGUCGGAUGUGAAAUCCCCGGGCUCAACCUGGGAACUGCAUUCGAAACUGGCAGGCUAGAGUCUUGUAGAGGGGGGUAGAAUUCCAGGUGUAGCGGUGAAAUGCGUAGAGAUCUGGAGGAAUACCGGUGGCGAAGGCGGCCCCCUGGACAAAGACUGACGCUCAGGUGCGAAAGCGUGGGGAGCAAACAGGAUUAGAUACCCCAGUAGUC